AGGAUGAACGCUGGCGGCGUGCCUAACACAUGCAAGUCGAACGAAGCACUUAGCAGAUCCUUCGGGUGAAGAUAUGGUGACUGAGUGGCGGACGGGUGAGUAACGCGUGGGUAACCUGCCCUGUACAGGGGGAUAACAGUUAGAAAUGACUGCUAAUACCGCAUAAGCGCACGAUGGUAGCAUUACCAGGUGUGAAAAACUCCGGUGGUACAGGAUGGGCCCGCGUCUGAUUAGCUGGUUGCGGGGUAAGAGCCCACCAAGGCGACGAUCAGUAGCCGGUCUGAGAGGAUGAACGGCCACAUUGGAACUGAGACACGGUCCAAACUCCUACGGGAGGCAGCAGUGGGGAAUAUUGCACAAUGGGGGGAACCCUGAUGCCAGCAACGCCGCGUGGGUGAAGAAGUAUUUCGGUAUGUAAAGCCCUAUCAGCAGGGAAGAUAGUGACGGUACCUGACUAAGAAGCUCCGGCUAAAUACGUGCCAGCAGCGGC
Molecule: ribosomal RNA, 490 nt
Filed under: uncultured bacterium
Lineage: Bacteria
Description: bacterial SSU rRNA
Rfam family: Bacterial small subunit ribosomal RNA
Source: RNAcentral